This is a non-coding RNA of Xyrichtys novacula (pearly razorfish), 684 nucleotides long. NCBI's taxonomy places the organism in Eukaryota, Metazoa, Chordata, Actinopteri, Labriformes, Labridae. The record is from the annotation of a GenBank genome assembly.
AACAAAGGCUUUAAAUUUCUAACUCUGGCCCCAGUCACUUCAGAACUGAAGAAGCCUUCAAGUGAAGAGGAAAGUCUUCCAGAACUCCAAACAGAUCCAGCAGGUUUGCAUGCAUAUAUCAUCAAUCUGAUUUAAAGUUAUUUAAACAUGAGCCGUUUAGAAACAUUUUUUGUGAUCGAGCCAUGUACCCUAGUCACUCCAAAGCUUCAACAAGUAGUGUCAUAAUUGUUGUGCAAAUUAAACUGACAUUUCUGUCUGCCUAUUUUCGUCUUUUUACCAUAAUUACACAUUUAACUCUUUUGCAAGUUGCAGAUUAAUGUUCUGGCCCUCUCCUUAGCUUCACGGCACCCCUCCCACCUCUCUCCUCCAGUCCUCAGCCACUCUGCUGUGGAACCACUUGAAUAGUAAGACCUCAUGAAUGUUUGCAUCCCAUCUUCGAUUCCUCUCUCCAGGGCAUUGAUGGCUAAUCAUCAAAGCUGGAUACAUCACUGACCAGCUGUGUGGUGUGCAUCACCAUAGCUCAAGGAUCUCUUGUAGCACCCACCCUACAGAGGACAGAGCCCUCACCUCCUGUGCUAUGGAUGGCAGUCCAUGUUCAAGAGCUACACACUGUUUCAUUUCAGUUUGUGUUUCGUUUGUGAACUAAGGACACUAACUGUUAAAGCUUUGGAGGUGAAUUCUUCC